CGUCAGCAGGGAGGGAGGAGCAAUUUCUUCCACGUGUCAAAGCUCUCAGAUGCGCGUUUUGCUUCUUUCUUUUUUGGUUAUUAAUGGACUUUUUGGACUUUAUUUGUAAUUGAAAAUGUUGAUUAUCCAGCCCAAUAUAGAGAGUCAAAUGAAGUCGACAUUCCUUCUGGGGUUUCUUGCCUCCUGCAGAAUCCGGGGAAGCUUAACCGUUAAUAGAGCUUCUGAGAUUCUUAGAGAGACUUCCCUUGGUCCGUAAAUUGGCGCAUCUGUGACUGUUCCCGUCGUUUCGUUGUUGCUUCUUCUCCUCACAUGCGUUACAAGCCGCAUUGAUUCGUCAUUAAGGAGAUCUUAACUCUUGCGACCCACUGCAACCACAAUCACUCAAUCAAUGAGUCUUAUCCCUCUUCCAGUAGGUGGAUCUCCACCUAUAAAAAGGAAAAUCGCCGGCCAGCUAACUCGAAUAUGCUUUUAAAGAGAACAUAUCUCGCUCCUCCACCUUCUAAGAGCAUAACGACCUCUCCGGGUCAGCUUUUAUCCAUAAGAGGAAGCAUAUCAGCGAGUCCAGAAGAGAAGGAAAGCACAUGGGUGAUGGGUAUUACGCGUAAGAGCUACACCACGUUGAAGAUCUGAAGAAAAUUUAUGUAGACGCAGUUUCAGCCAUUAAUGGCGGCGGAGGGAAAUCACUUGGUGGCUGAGGAGGGACCAUGACAUCACUUGGCGGUGGUGGUGGUCGGCGUUGGGUUUGUAACGGGUGCCUGCACCUCAUGUCAUGUCUCCGAUGACACCGAGCGGUUUCAGUUUAUCAACAUCAUAAGAAAAAGUCUGUUGGUGCUCAUAUCACACGUGUCAUUGAACUCUUAUUUGAGACAAGGCAAACCUUUACACCAGAUCAAAUAAACGAAAACUGUUAUGUUAUUAUGCUUGCCAACAAGGCUGUUCUUGAUAGUUUGAGGAACAAUGAUGAGAGGAGGUUCUCUUACAAGGUAUAACCUUUACGUUUGAUUAAAGUUGCUUUCUCUUUUUGAACAACAAUACUCCUGCUGUAACAUGCUAAGCACGAUGUCAAAGAUAAGAAGUAGCUUCUCGGACUGGUUAUGAAUUAUCCUGCUGGGAUUGCAGCAGUUGAUCUGAAAGAUGCUUACCUGAAUGUCAUGCAGGAUUUACAUGUUUGCUUUUUCUUAUACAAUUGGUCGGGACAAAGAUAAUGUUAAGUGUUUGAUCACCUUAAAUCCAGUUGGUUUUGGCUGGAAAAGAACUUAUCUCAAGUUGUGUAUUUAUAUGGAUAUAUAUAGUUUGGUUCUUGAUUGUGUUUGUAUUAUGCGGGCUCUGAGAGCUUCGAAACGCUGAUUCACAAGAUGAUAUUGUGUACCCUACGUCCCUGACGACUUCAACCUCAGGUCGAGGUUGAUGACGAGUUCAAAUCUCUGCUCGGAGACAUAGACACCCCACGGACCUGCUUGACGUGGAGAAGGAGCUGCUUAAGAUUAUUUGUGUGACCAAUCCUUUGUGAACGUUUAGAGUUUUAACCGGUGAUAAUGUGUGUUGAAAACAGGAUGAUAAAUCAGGAACCAUUACUGAAGUACUGGCUGAAGAUGGAAAACUAGCCAGCGUUGAUACGGGACAUCGUUACAAAAACUUGGAUCAAGAGAGAAAUAGUAAAAGAAGUAAGAAACGUUUGUGAAGCAGAAGCUAGAAGGUAAGAUGAGGUUAAUGAUAAAUCACAAUUGGAACAUAUCAAACCACAGUGACAGGAAGGUUGUAGGGGAGUGACGAUGUGAUGGUAGGUCCACAGUAGCCAAAGUCAGCCUGUUAGAAGCAGCUUCUUGAUCUAGACCAAGAAGGCGACACCUGAUUUGGAAUUGAACUUCCUUGACAAGAACAUGUGCUGGUUUUAGAACAGAGGAAUGAAGAUGUGCAUUCCUCUCCCUCCAUAGAAAUUAUUAACUCCCUCAAAAAUGAGCUUCAGAAUGGGUUUACUCCCUGCAGCGUAACAAGUAACAACCACUGCAAGCCACGAGAUCACAUCAUCAAGAGUUGAGGAUGAACUGAAAUGGUUCCUGAUAAAGAAAGUUUGCAGCCUCUCUUUACCAUCAUGUAAUAAACUCAGUCAGGUUGGUUUGGUUUCAAUUUCCCAUGUUUUCUUCUGAACUUUCUUUUGGGAAUCAUGUAAUAUAUCAGUAUGCAUUAAGAAAAUAAUUUACUUUGUAGUAUGUAACAUAUGGAAGAAAUGUUAGAUCAAACGCAUUGGGAAUCAUGGAAUCAUGUAAAAUAAUUUCUCUGUAUAAUUUUCCUUUGGUAAGAAUUGUUAGAUCAAACGCAA
Brassica napus (rape) is the source of this 2320-nucleotide long non-coding RNA. RefSeq lists it as uncharacterized. Lineage: Eukaryota; Viridiplantae; Streptophyta; Magnoliopsida; Brassicales; Brassicaceae. The record is from RefSeq and is a predicted model, not a curated record. The transcript has 4 exons.